RNAcentral lists this small nuclear RNA (33 nucleotides) under Cervus elaphus hippelaphus. The record is from RNAcentral. Lineage: Eukaryota; Metazoa; Chordata; Mammalia; Artiodactyla; Cervidae.
AUCGCUUCUCGGCCUUUUGGCUAAAAUCAAGUG